RNAcentral lists this long non-coding RNA (15868 nucleotides) under Ananas comosus (pineapple). RNAcentral's name for it is "long non-coding RNA (ACOM_LNC001076)". Lineage: Eukaryota; Viridiplantae; Streptophyta; Magnoliopsida; Poales; Bromeliaceae. The record is from RNAcentral.
UUUCAGAGCCUUCGGCACCGGCGGAGGCACGGGAUCGCGGCAAGGGGAUCGCUUAGCUAGCUAGCGAGGAGCGGUACUUUGCCUAGGUGGUUUACUCUUUCUUUUGUAGUUGAGAGAGUGAGAGGUUUUUGUAUCCAUGUAUAGAGACCACCUAUGUAUCUACCUAUAGCACUUGUAUCUGGGAUUUUCUUGUAUCACUUUAUGAUUUAUUUAGUGAAUUUACAGUUUUAUCCUUAUCCCUUAUUGUAGCAUUUAGACAUUUAUUAUGCUCUGAUACUCCUAAAUGUCUUUUAUUAUUGCUUUUAUUAUUGUUGUUUUUAAACGCCUUAUAUGUUUUAGACGUAUGGCGGGUCUGGGCACGUGCCGGGCGGGCUUCCGCUGGGUCCCGGGGCUUGACAGGACGUGUCGGUCUCCUAUACACUGGAGUGAUGUAGGUGAGCGUACAGAGUUCGACCCCGAUGUCCUGCGAGAAGCAGAGGAGAAAGUCCGUCUUGCUCGCAAGAGGUUGCUCACGGCGCAGUCGAGACAGCAAAGCUAUGCAGAUAGGCGGCGUCGAGAUAUAGAAUUCGCGGUAGGUGACCGCGUAUUCUUGAAAGUUUCACCGAUGCGGGGUGUGAAGCGGUUUGGAGUGCGGGAAAAACUAAGCCCCCGAUACAUUGGACCAUAUGAGAUAUUGGAGCGAGUCGGCACGGUGGCCUACCGACUUGCUUUACCGCCGAAGCUUGCGGAUGUACACAAUGUGUUCCAUGUCUCCAAUCUCCGCAAGUAUAUUCACGACCCCGAGCAUGCAAUGCUAUAUGAACCGCCGGAACUUCAAGGAGACUUGAGCUAUGAAGAGUUUCCGGUAGGGAUUAUCGCCCGAGAGGUGCAAAAGUUAAGGAAUCGAGAAAUUCCCUAUGUGAAGGUCAGGUGGAGCACUCACGAGGAUCGCGAAGCCACCUGGGAACUCGAGGAUCUGAUGAGAAAACACCACCCUCAUCUGUUUGAGGAAUAAGGUAAGAAUUUAAGUUAAAGUUAAGAAUCGAGUUCGUUUCGAGGACGAAACUCUUUUUAAGGAGAGGAGGAUGUAAGGACGUGAAUUCUCGAAAUCCGAGGAUUGUACUUCAUUCAGGAUCAACUAAUUGUCGAGAGAAUAUCCUUUGUGGGAGUUGAAAAUGUCCAAAACACAAAAAGUGCUUUGGAGUUGAGUCCGCGAGAGCAAAUGGUGCAAAUUGCAUCAUUGGGCUGAUGAUACUCUCGGGGACCGGUCUCUGGAGGUGAGAAACCGGUUCCACUGGCUGGUCGUAGCGGGGUUGCUUGAUGCAACCGGUCCCUGGUAGGGAGGGACCGGUUCCCGAACGUGGUUCCAGCAAGAAAUGCCGAAAUUUGGCUAAGUCCUGAAAAUCGAGCUCUCGGGGACCAGUCUUUCAGGUGAGGACCGGUCUCCGGGGAAGAGACCGGUUCCCGAACGCGUGCGCCCGAGGGAGGCCCUCAGGAAUCGGUCCCAAGUCGGGGAGACCGGUCCCUCCGCACGAAAUCUGCCCAGUAAGAGCAGUGUAUAGGAUUAAAAGUUGAGGGAUUUUUAUGCAAAAUGGCAUUAGUUAGGGAGGGGAUUAGAGGGGCUGAGCCCUCUUCCUCUCUCACCCUCACUCAUACUUUCUCCCUCUCUUAUUCUCUCUUGCUCUUUCUCUCUCUCUAGAAAAGAAAGGAGAAGAAGAAGAACAAGAAGGAGAGGAAGGAAAAGAAGGAGAAGAACAAGAAGGAGAAGAAGAAGGAGAUCAAGAGGAAGGCUUUGGACACCUUCAUCUUCCUCUCCUCUUCUCUUUAGUGUAGCACAAGAGGUAGGCUCUUGAACCCUAGCUUCUAGAAUUUAGGGUUUUGGGUUUUUAUGCCUUGGAAUGGGUCAAAUGGACCCUAAGCAUGCUUCUAAAUAGAUCAAUCCCAAGAAUCUAGAAAUUUAUUGAAUGGUUUGCUAUGGGUGCAAACUUAGGGCUCCAAAAUGGGGUUUUUGUGAAAGUAUGAGAUUGAUCUCAUUUGAAGCCUUGGAAACCCUAUUGUUAGGUCACAAAACGUGGGGGCGAAGUCGGUUUUAGCAUUCGACGAGCCGGCGUGAAGUUCUCGGCAAAAUAGGGCCGGGUUAGCAUCGACUUGGGCAAGGAAGGCUAAAGCCUUUUCGUGAAGUUCGCCGAGGAGCGUUUCCAAAGCCUCUACAUUGAUAAAAGGUGGGGGGUGCCAUCUCGAAGCUUUCGAACUCCUUUCUAUAUCUUAGAUUGCAUUUAAUCUCAUCUCUUACAUGUUGCAUUGUAGGAUUGCAUAGUAGCUCCCUUCCUUAUGCUUUCUAAAUGAUAACCUAGUGUACUUGGAACGCUUGGUGACUUAGAUAGGUGAGGAUUGGGUCGGAACAUGGAUUCUAUGAUGCGAAAGAAAAGAGAUGAACCCGAUGGGGGAUGUUGAUGACAUAGAAAGUAGUGUUAAUGUCAAAGAACAAACGAGUGGCAUCUAAACGCUAAAUGAUGACGAGUGGCAUUAAUGUAGUGUAAAUGACACUAGAGGUUUGAGAACCUAGGGAUAGGUGGAUCCCUUAGAAAAUGCCCUGUGGACAAGAACUUAGUAAACCUAAGUAGCCUCACAUGGAGAGGUUGGCGAUGAGUCGAUUGAGACAUUGACCCUAGUGGUAGGGCAUCCUCACUUGGAGAGGAUUUGAUUGGGUUGUGGACCCUAGUGAUAGUGCUUCCUCACUUGGAGAGGAUUCGAUUAGAUUAUUGACUCUAGUUGUAGAGCAUUCUCACUUGGAGAGGACUUGAUUGAGUUGUUGACCCUAGAUGUAGGGCAUCCUCACUUGGAGAUGAUAGAUCUAGCUCACAGUCUGCGUUUGGGAUGGUAUAGCCAUCCAAUCCCCACAUGGAGGGGAUUGUCGUCGAGUACUCCGGAGUGUCGCGCGACUAGGACCACUUGGAGGUCCGGACCACAUGGAGGUCCGCAGACGGUCCCGGGCUUGGGUGCACUUGGAGCUCCCUCCCCACUUUGGGAUUGAAAGGUGAGUUAUAGGCGAACCCUAGGGCUUCGCCACAAAUUAGGUAAAUGAAAAGGUAAAGGUUUAAUAAUGUCAUUGAACAUUGCUAUUCGAACAUGGAUCGAAUUUGUUAGCAUGGUAGCAAACCUUUAUUAAAUGAUGCAUGCAUUCAUAUUCUUGAUUAUGGGCAUAGUAGCAUAGUUUUCCUACUAUCGCAUUUACAGUUUUCAGAUACAUAUCUAUCUAUCUAUCUGUUGUUACUUGUGCCUACUUGGACCUAGUGGGGAGAUCGGCAGAGUCGGCGGCCGAGCCCACUGGGAACUAUGGAAGAUAGUUCUCACCCUACUCUAUUUCCAGUGGUAGGUACAGGGCUGCCGAGAGAGGACCGCGGCAAAGGCAUCGCGCCCGAUCAGUGAGACCGUGGUAGUAUAGUAGCUUUCCUUUUUGCAUUAGUACACCUAUGUAUUGAGAGAGAUUCAUUGUAGGUGAGGACUUGGAGAGCUAUGUAUUUUAGAGAUGAAAAAUGUAUUCAUUUAAAGAAAAUGAUGUAAAUGAAAAUGAUGGAACUAUUGUAAUAGUUAGUAAAGUACUCUCUUUAUUUCACAUGUGUACCUUGUGGAUUGCUUGCUCUUUGUAUUGUUGGCACUGUUUGUACCCUUGCGGAUGUGUAUGUUUAGAAUUUAAAUUCCCGGGUAAAUUCUUGUACACAUUCCCGUUGUUGAGCCUUGGGCGGACAUGGGAGGUGCUGUAUGUUCGGCGGUCCGCUCGCCGCGCCCGAAUCGUGCCAAAUUGGUAGUGGUUUCGGGGCGGGACCUGACAGUAAUAGUCACUAGCAACCCAUCGGUCUAGUUCUAUGUCUCAAAGUGAAGUUUCAACAUUCACUAAAUUUAAUGCCUCUUUAUGACAUUAGAACAUUACUAUAUCCAAGCAUAUUCCAAAUUCGAUGCCUCUUUAUGGCAUUAUUAGUAGGAUCAUACAUAACUCAAGCUCAAUGUCGCCUUAUGACAUUAGCUCACUAAUUCACACAUCAUUCAAGUCUAAUGCCUAAACCCAACAUGAAUAAUUCUCUACUACAUAGAGGUUCAAAUAUACUUUGUAUAUAACAUGUGCAUUCUAGGCAUUCUAAAAUUCACAAAUAUUACAUCUAGUAUGAAUAUGCAUAAAAUUUUAUUUUACGACAAGUAUAAUCAUCAUAUGAGAAUUUUUAUCUCAUUUUGGUGAGGCCAAACCCACCAAGUCUCAUCGAAAUCCUUUGCUUGCGCAAAAGGAGUUGUCCACUAUUCUCCUAGCACCCUAAAGGUAAUAAAAGGAGAGUUAAACAAACAUUACGAACAUCCCUAUGGUCGAUUAUUAACUAUAACGUAUCGAAACCUCGAUAGCGAUUAUCGAACUUUAGCCAAAUUGGUUAAAGUGCCGAGAGAAAUGGAUAGACAAAGUCCGGUUGACAUUCCAACAAUGUUGGAAGGGUCAAAGUCGAGUCCCGAGAGUGUUAAGCAAGUUUUAGCAUUGCUCGGCGUGAUUUAAAAGUGAACAAUGCGAAAGAAAUAGUUGGGUAUGUUCCAUUAAGCGUUCCAACAAUAUUGGAAGGGUUAAAAAGGAGUUCUAAAAGAGUUAAAAGGGUCUUAGCAUCAAAUGGCGCGAAAUAGAAUAAAAAACGGCGCAAAAUCAGCAUUCUGGGCAAAGUGUACCGGUACAACCAUCGAGUUGUCACCGGUACAACCCUGCAGACCGAGAAGAGCUUGCUCUCGGGUUUGAGAGAAAAAUCGAAAGUGUACCGAUACACUUUAAAAGUGUACCGGUACAAAUCCUGCGUAACCGAGAAACAUGCUUUCGGGUUGGCCUCUGCGCAAUCGUGUAUUGGUACAAAUCCAAUGUGUACCGGUACACUUUGGUCUGGCAGCACCAAUUUGGUCUGCUGCAAAUAAAAAGAAAUGGGGGGCCUAGAUGCAAUUGUAGUACCUUAUAAAACACCCCAACACCUCUCUCUCCCUCUCCCACAGCAAACACACACCUCUUCUCUCAUUUCUCUCUUUCUCUUUCUUAAGAUCACUUCCAAGAGCCAGGAGGUGAAGGAGGAGAAGGCUUUGGAGGGAUUUUUGGUGGUUUUGAAGGCUUGAGAUCUCUCCUACAAGGUGGACAUUGGAGAGCUUUGGGCUAAGGUGAGGUGUUUUGUAACAAUAGGUCUAGGGUUUGGUUAUAUGCCCUAGAAAACUAGGUUUUGUUCUUCUCUCAUGUAUAGAAACCUAGUAAUGGCUUAGAACACAUGAAAACCCUAGUUUUCUUCAUGUGCUCUAAUGGUGAAUUCCUAGGGUUUGCUUAUUAUGCCCUAGAAAUGAUUUAGAUAGUUCUAAAUGAGCUUCUAGAUGUUGAACAAGCUCUCUUUUGCUUGUUUUAGAGAUCAAAAUCUAGAUUUGAGCAAAUGGUGUUGUUAGGGCACCAAAUUUAGAGCUUUUGCCCUAGGGAGUUUCUAAGGCAAAUUAACCUUGUACAAAACCUAAUUGGGGGUAUUCCCGACACGUUGUGCAACUCGGUUUGACGUUACGAAAAGCCUAUGUAGGAGUUCUAAGUAUUAAGCCUAAUUUGGCUUCGUUUUGCCGCAGGCGAUAAAGUAGAGCUUCAAAAAUUCCAAGAAAUUCACCGUAGCACCUUUGCAACCAUACAAGGUGGGUGAUGCAUACCAAGGACCUCGGAAUUCCUUUUAUAUCUAAAGUGUCAUAUUUAAGCAUAUGUAUGUAUUGAGCAUAUUGCAUAGUAGGGGUAAUUGUGAGCUUCUUAUCGCAUGUUGUUGGUUCAAAUACAUGUGAAAUGCUAAUGAGACAAUGAGAAUUUAUAAACCCUAUGUAUGCAUGAUAAGUGACAAGAACCUAGCGGACUUAGUAAACAAAUAUGACAUGUGGAUAUGAGUCGUAGAGAGUGGCAUCUACUAGUCUUGAACACUUAGAGAACAAGUGUGGCAUCAUUAUAUGAGUACAAAGAUCAAGCAGUGUAUAUGACACUAGUAAAGGUUAACGAAUGCAAGUAUACAAAGGUAGCGACAUUAUGACAUAGCAACCUUAGAGUUAAGGGUCAUAUGUGUAUUACUUUCUUAUAGUUAAGGAAUGGAUUGAAGUUGACAUUCUUAUAGUUAAGGAUUGGAUCAUACUCACCUGUAAGUCCUUACUCGAGGGUGGUAGCUCCCCUUCGAGCGAUGUGCUCCGGAGUUGUCAUCACUGGAUCGUAGCGAGUAUCUCCCCAGAGGACAGUCCCGUCGGGUUGUAGCGGGUAUCUCCCCGAUAGUAGGGAUUUGGUUGGUGAGUUGUUGAGGGCGAAACCUACGGGUUAGCCAAGAGAUUGGGCAAUGAGAUUGUGAUCUUGCAUUCAUCAUCAGCAUACUAUUGAGCAUUGCAUUGAUUAUUGUUCAGGCAUAUUAGCUGCAUUUGUAUAGUUUGGUUACUAUCUAUAUCUCUUUUCUUCUAUUAUGUCUGAUUUAGACCUAGUGGGAAAGUCGGCGUGGUUGGUUGCCGAACCCACUUGAAACUUUGUUGUAGUUCUCACACCCCAUUUUUCACAGAGCCGGGACCGAGCGAGCUGGCAGACGAUCGCGGUAAGAGUAUUGCGCCCUAGACAGAGACCGCCCGAGAUACUUUACAUUUUGUAGUUGCAUACCCCUUUUAUAUAUAUCAUCUUUUGUACUUGGACGAUGAUUAGGGAUGUUAGAGCAAAUGUAUUAAAGAUACUUUACGAUGUUAAAUGUAAAGGUUUAUUUUGGAGAUUUGAGAUGUACAAAAGAAAUGAUGCAAAGACUGUAAAAGAACUUCGAAGUUGAAUGCAUAUAUGUGAUUUAAAUUUAAUCAUAGUGCUUGUAUGUUGAUUAGUUAGCACUUUCACUUUGGCUAUUGCUUGCCCUCGUGCAAGCCAUUAUGUAUGCUUCCGCAAGUACAAAUUUUAUACUCUAUCUGUACCUGUUGUUGAGCCUUGGGCGGACAGGGGAGGCUCUGUCCGUUCAGCGUCUGUUCGACGCACUCGAACCGGCCAAAAGGAUCGGGCUCGGGGCGUAACAUUAACCAUCUCAAGAAAAGGGACAAAACUCACCUAUAGAGUGGAAAGCCCUUCUCGAACUCCAAAUGGGAGCUAGAACCCUUCGAAUCCAACCUAGAGGAAGGUUCUAAUCCAAACAAUUGAGCUCCAAAAGCCCUAAAUCAAAAAUUCCCAAAUUAGACCCUAAUUCCUCAUUUCUAGGGUUUCUACACAAAAACCAUGAAAAUCAUGAUCUAUAGGGGAAAAGUAUGCAACUAACCUCUUUAGAUGCUCCAAAAGACCUAAGAAACCAGCUAGGGUUGAAGAUCUUCCCUCUACCAAGCUUCAAACACGAACUCAAGGCUUCUCCAAUGGUGGAAGUUGCACCAAGAAGCAAAAAGAGAAGAUUUAGCCACCAAAAUCCAAGCAAAAAGAGGAAAAAAUCAAAGAAAAUGGAGAGCGAGCUCACCUCUCCUUCUUUCCUGUUGCAACACAAGAGCCCCAUCCAAGAGGUGUGGGGGAAUAUAUAGUGUUGCUACAAUUACAAAGAAAUCCCUCAAAAACUGUCAGACUGCAGUUUGCAAAGUGUAUCGGUACACAAAAAAGUGUACAGGUACAAAUCCAUAAUACGCGCGAACCCAAGGCUCGGGUUAGGAGAAACAGCAAUGUGUACCAGUACAAAUCGAAUGUUGUACCGGUACAACCUCUUGUUCCGGUACAACUUCAAUGUCGUACCGGUACAACACCCUACAGACCCCAACCCGAGAGCGGCCUAAGUUCUUCUCUUUGGAGACCUUAGGGCUAAGUCAAAAAUCUCGUUUCUCAGGAUGCGAGCCAUAGGUCGGUACACUGUCAACGACUCUCCAGAAUAGCUAGAAAAACUCGAAACAUAGGUCAAACACUCGAACCUCACAAUUUGCAAAGGUCCAGUGUGUUACACGCCUUAUAUGUGUAGGCAUAUGGCAGGUCUGGACACGCACCGGGCGGGCCUCUGCCGGGUCCCGGAGGGUGACAGUGUUGGCCGCGGCUUUUCCUCCGUCGUCAUCGUCGCCUUAGCUGGCCGUCGCCCUCUUGGGUCCUUUCUCAUCCACCUCGACCGCUCUUGGCCGGUGUCUACCUUUCUUGGCCGCCAAAGCCCGAGAGAAAGGAGACCAACCUUGGACUACCCAAGCUAAGGCUCGCUAUUGACCAACUAUACUAUUCCGGUCAUUCUCGCGAAAUGCCAUAAUGAGAUGCUUCACAUUGUGGUCAUCCCAAACAACGUGAUUUCAGUUUUGGAGUAUCCAUACAUGCUGUAUAAAGCCCGGGAAUAUCUUGGCUCGAAGCUCGUAGCGAUCGACAAGUGAAACGGUGCCCGUACACAUGUUCUAGUAUGCUUUUGGCCGUGUUUUCGCAAAGUAGGUGAUCGUUGUUGAUCACAAUGAUUGGUGGGCAUUAUUUGCUAGUUGGGGACUCAUUGUUGUGAAGCUCAGGCAAUCGAGUGACCAUAGACGGGUUCCGGAGCCAAAACAACACCUUUUUGGAACUGUAACAUACCAGAUUUUGGUAUAAAAAUAAAAAUAAAUAAAAAUAGUAUGAGAAACUAUUUUUAUUGGAUUUAUAGAAGCAAAACAUAAGUCAGAAGUGACUUGUGCUGAAAUCGGAAUGAAAACAGAAGAUUUAGAAUUUUCUGUUGAAAACGGGACAGAUAAAUUAGCAGAAAAUACACAGUCUCAGAAAAUUAUGAAAAUUGGAGGAUAAGUCAGAAAUAUUUUUAUGAGGCUAGAUUUAAAGUUUCAUAUUUUUCUGACACCCGAAAGGUGGAAAAUAAAAUCCGACAAGUUAUCUGAUAAAGAUUACAGUUCGGUACAGUUUUCGGUGACCAAAUGGGGUCGAAACUGAAAACUUAAGAUAUAUUCUUACUCAGUACGUUAAACUGAGACUGUCUGUCAAAUUUGAGCUCAAACGGACACUCAGAAGGGCCCCAACUGUUCCGAACUGCUAAACUGCCCUCGAGUGAAUAGUGUUGGAGGGUGUUAAUUAUAUAAGAAGCCUUUGCUUCUUCUCCUCCAGCCGACCACACACAUGCGCCACACCCACACACACGCAUGGAAAGGGAAAGAGAGAACCCACCCUUUCUCUCUCUAGAUCUCUCCCAAAAUUGAAGGUUUUGGUGGAGAAGCAAGCUUGGAAGUUGAUCUUCAUCUUCUUCGUCUUCUUCUUCUCCCUUGGAGCUAGCUUAAGAGAUAAGCUUUGAUGCCCUUUAAUGGUAGAAUUGUAGGGCUUCAAUUAUAUGCUCUAAGAAUGAAUUUAGUGGAACUCCUAGAUGCUAAAUAGAGGAUUAAUGCUUGAAUCAUGAAGCUAUAUGAUGAUUUCUUGCAUAGUUACAACCUAGGGCUCCAAAAUGCAAUUUUUGCUAAUAGAUGGGUUUGAUCUAUUUUGACCCUAUGUAAACCUAAUUGCUAGGUAAACGAACGCGUUGGCGAAGUCAGUUCGGCGAUUCGUCGAGCCGUUGCGAAGUUAUUAAAGAAACGGACGUUUAGGCUUCGUUUCUGCCUGGAGGGCCGAGGCGACAUCGUAAACUCAUGAAAAUGGAUUUGAAGCACUGUGGCACAUAACCGAAGACCUUUAAUUUUCGGAUCAUGGAUUGGAGGCCGUUCGGGUGGUCGCGCGAGCGAUCGGGCCAAACCGGGUGCCAGGUGCCGCGGUAGGCCGAUUGCAAGUGUCGACAAGCAAUCGGAAUGCGAAAUGAGGUGGGUUGUGCUUACCGAAGCGACUAGGUCGCCUGUAUGUCUAAGUAAAGUGAAUUCGUGUUGAUGCAUAUAAAUGCUAGAUGGAUGCAUGUAGUAAAUGCUAAAGAAAAUGCAUGCUAAAGAUGUAAUAUAAAUGAUGCUAGUUAAAAACAUGAGAUAAAUGACAUUUGCAUGUUAACAAAAAGUAGAGAACAUGCUACUUGUAAAGUAUAAUGAUAAGUUGUAAAGGAUGCUAAAUAAAUGCAUGAAUGAUGUGGUAUAGAAAUGCUAGAAUAUAUGCAUUGGUUAAUGUUAGUUGGAUGCAUGUCAUGGAAAUGCUAAAUGUAAGCAUGUGGCUAAUACUAAGAUAUACUUGAUAAUCAUGUUAUAGAGAUACUAAUAUUAAGAAAAGGAUAUGGGCAUGUGGACAUAUAUAUAUAUGCACAUAGAUCGAGUGGCAUUAAACCUAGAGUCAUGGAUAUAGGUUGAAUAUGGAUGAUAUGAACCUAGUGUCAAAGAACAUAGGUUGGACAUCAAGUGGCAUUAAACCUAGUGUCUUGAACAUAGGUUGAACAAGUAUAGUGUGAACCUAGUGUCAUGAACCUAGCAAAUACUUAUGGUAUUUGAGCAUACAUAUUUUGUAUCAUUCAUGCUUGAUAGGACUAAGUACAUGUGAACCUUGGUUGCUUUCAAUGACAUGUUCUAACGUAGUUGAACAUAGAGAAUGGUAGAACCAUAAUGGAUAUGUAUGUUAGGAUCCCAUAAUUGUGUGAAUGUGAGAGUUGGACUUGGACAUAGUAAAUAAAGGUGACAUGGACAAUAGAGACAUUGAUUAGCAUAGAGAACAUAAUUGUUAAAUAUAGUUUAACCAAGAGUGGCAUUGAGACAGGAAUGACCUAGAGAGCGGCAUGAAUAAAUAGGUAGAAAACCUAUUAUGAUUGUGGCAUUUGUGGAAUUGUGGUUUAUGGCUAUACUUUCCCAAAUUGGGAAUUGGAUCAUACUCACAUUGAGUCUUGGCUUGAGGGCGGUAGGUCCCCCUCAAGCGGUGCAUUCCGGAAUUGUCACCACGGGAGCGCGGUUCCUAAAGACGGUCCCUCGGGUCUUGCAGUGCUUAGAGCCUCCCCGAUCAAAAGAGAUUUUGGGUUAUGAGUUCGAGGGGAACUGGGUGAACCUCGAUGCAAUUGGGUAAAAGCCAAGUGAAUGUACAUUAAGCGUUAUGAGCUAUAGAUUGAGUAUCCCUGUCGAGUGGAUUUGGGGCUGAGGUGUAUGUGAGACGUCCAUUACCUCGAGUCUGGUAUUGAUGCGGUAUUCCGCAGUUGAUUGACUCGAGACCGAGUCGGUUGGUUAGCUUGGCUAGGGUAGAGGAAAACCUUAGGAGCAAGUAACCAAUGAUUGUAAAGUGACAAGAUGUAUAAAAUUAUGGAAAAGCUAUGAAUAGCAUGAUAGAAAGUAAAAUCCUUCAUUCUACUUGUAUAGUUGCAUGAUUCGUAUAUAGCAUGGCAUUAUUGCAUUCGUGAGGCAAGGCAUGGUUUUAUUAGUUGCAUAAUAAAGAUAUAUAUAUCUAUCUGUUUAUUGAACUAACUUGCAGUUGCCUCCCUUGGACCUAUUGGUCGAGCUUUUCCCUUGGGUGGCCGUAUCCACUGGGAAUCAUGGAAUUGGUUCUCACCCCACAUUAUUUUGGGGUGUUACAGGUUCACACGUGAGCGGCGCGGCGGCGCGAGGCGAGGGCGUAACUCCAUAGUUAGCGCCCUACCACCGAGACCAGAGAUAGCGGUACCCUGAGUCGGCUUUACUUAGGGAUGUAAGAAAAUGAAAGGAAUAAGAUUGUAAUAAUUUGUAAUAAAAGCAUGAUUGUAUUUGAAAGUUAAAUGUAUAAUAAAAUUGUGAUGUAAAAUGUAUCUAAAUAAUGUGAAUGCUUGUAAUAGCAAGUAGAUUAUGUUUUUGAUACUUUCUUAUGCAAUCUUUGAUUGAAAUGUGUUCAUGGUUGGAACUUCGUACAUUGUAUUGAUUGCGACACCUUGAAUGUACAGAGGAGACUCUGUCCGCGGUACAGGAAAAACCCUGUCCGUUCGGCGGUCUGUUGCGACGCCGCGACCCAGCCAAAUAGGCGGGCGGUCGUGGGGCGUGACAGGAACCUUGUAUAGCUAAUUGUGGGGUUUUUGCCCUCGAAUUGUACUAUUUGGUGUGCGGCUGUCUCGAUACUCAAAAGUUAGUGUCCUGGUACAAAAUGGGAGUGUCAAGUGCUGUUCGAAGUGCUUCAGAUUACUCCGGGGUUGAAACAGACCCUAAAAUAUGAGCAAUCGAGAAAUUUUAGAUAUAGAAUCACAAAUUGUGUGAUGCGACUAUUUGUAGCAGUGUUUGGGCCUUAUAUGUUGGUCAUCCUUAAUAUCUUGUGUGUUCGGAGAUAGUAGGAGGGUUGAUGGUUGGUUCUAGAGUCGAAUUGGCAUGCCGUAGAUCCCAACGUAGUUCGGUUGAUGUUUUACAUACUUGUUUGCAUCACAUUUGUGUGUUGCUACCUAGGCACCCAAGUAGGUGUGCUUCAGGGCAGCGGAUGAUAUUUUGUGAGCUUUGUUACUCUUUGGGACAUUUCAUGGGAUUCGAAAGGGUUACAGUGUGUUGUCGGGUAUUUCCGGCAGGUUUCGAGAUUCAGUAAAGGUACCGAAUCUCAGUUGGUUUUCCGGGUUGUGUGAUAGGUAAUUUUAUGUCUCUUAGGGUUUGUUCAUAUCGAUUGUGAUUCUGUAGAUUUUUUAUAGGUCUAGGUAAUAUGUUGGAGCAUUGUUCGAGCUCGGUGCUCCACUAGAUUACAGGUGGGUACUUCGAUUCGAAGUCGGUCUAACGGGGCAGGCUCGGUGACUUCUUCUUUUUUUCCUUUUCUGUGGCUACAUAACUUAUCAUGAUUAUAUAUUCAGUAUCUUGCAUACUACUUGGUAUUCGUUGGUCUACUCUACUCUUGUUUCAUCUUGUAGCAUCAUGAUUGAUCUAGUUGUAAAGUAACAUUUUAGUGAUUGAUUAUCAUUGCAUGACUCCAUGAUCGGUGACAUUCAUACAUAGUGAUACGGUUAUAUAGACCUUAUAGGUUAGUGACACGGUGAUAUUCCUUCGGGAAUAUCAGACCUGGUUUGAUUCGAUAUGGUUGUAGAUUGUUGGUUCGGCUAUCUGCCGUUGUUGGCCGUUGAGCAUAUUGCAUCGAUCGCCAUAGCUUAUGAGUAUUUCAUGUACACCAGCGGUCUGAUCCACCGCAAGAGGAUAUUCUUUUCCAGAAAAUUAGUCGUACUUCUGACCCGUGAACUCUAGCGGCCUAUUGCUAGGGCCAUAUGCCAUUUAGAGCAGGCGUGGCAUUGCCUCAGGUUUUUAGACCAAUACGGCAGUUAAUUGGGUGUACUUGUACUAUUGAUUUUAGUUGACGCGUAGUUGUUUCUCCAUCUUCCUUUGUAGUUGCGGUUGUUCAUACUAUUGUUGCAGUUAUUUUCAGUUCAGUUAUCGUUGCUACCGCUCUAUUUUGACUGCUGAUUAUAGUUGUUCGUUACUUUAUUAUCUCACUUUACAGUAGUAGCUUGUUUUGUGAUUAUUGGUAGUUGUUAUUCAUUAUUAUUAUACCUGAAUUUGUUAUUACUAUUGUCAUUCCUUCCGUCUGCCGGUGUGUACAACUUACUAAUCGUCAGCUUACGAUACCUACUUGGAGGGGGAGACUUAUUUAUAUGCUCUCAGCCCCUAACUAUUUUUCAGGUAGCUCGGGUGAUGAGGGUCCAGACGGUGUGUGAGGACGAUUCUAGAUAGCGGUGUUUCGGAUUGGUCCCUUGUCGACAUCCACAUUCGUAGCCCUAGCUUAGUUCUCGAGUUUUGUUAUUAGUGUGGAUCUUUUCGUUGGUUUAGUAUGUAUCUACUAAUUAGAAAUAGUGAUUACAUGGUGGAUCUAAUCUUUGGUCAUCUGAUUUUUAUGCGGAUUAUUAGUUUUCCGCAAUUAUCUCCUUAUUAUAGUUAUUGUAUCUCUGUAUGAUUGUGGUGUGGUUGAUGUUUGUACUCUUGUGCUACACCGUGCACGUAUAGAAGAGGUCUAUGUGGUGGGUUUGUGUGCGCCAUGAGAGAUUUUUAAGGGUGUUAAAACAAAAAAUUAUGCGUUUUCCGCUUGUUUUUUCUUAAAAGGAUUCUCAAAAGAAUCCCGGGCGUGACAUUAUAAGUUUAUAACUAUAAUGUACAUAAGAGUAUUUUGAAAAAUUUUUAAUUAGUUAUAAUAUAAUUUUUUAAUCUUAAAAUUUUUAACAAUUAUAUAUUUUAAUUGAGUGAAAUAUUGUCUACCCGCUGCGAACCACAGUGUAACGCACUGGACCUUGCAAAUUGUGGGGUUCGAGUGAUUGAGUGCGUUCUGAACUUUUCCAGACUUUCUGGUAGGUCGUUGACUGUGUUCCGACCUAUGGUUCGAGUCCCGAGAAUUGUGGUUUAAAACCUUGCAUCAAAAUCCAAAAAUUUGGAUUUUUGGUCAGCUCUCGGAUAGCCUUCAGCAGGCCAUGUACCGGUACGAGUUCACUUGUUGUACCGGUACGGGGUUGAUGGCUGUACCGGUAUGGGCCCGCGUACCGGUACACAGACGGCUUUUCGGCCAAACCCGAGGCUCGGGUUUGCGUUUUCGUGGGUUGUGUACCGGUAUACAAACCCGUGUACCGGUACACAGUGCAGAUUGGGGCUGUUUCGUGGAGGGGUGUUUUUGCAAUUGUUGCAACACCUUUAUAAGUGACCCCAGCCCCCUUGGCUGCUCUCCUUGAGCUCUAAACAGGGAGAACAAGGUGAGUCUUCUCCUCUUGGUUUGAUCUCCAUUUUUUGGUGGUUUUUAUGGGUUUUGAUCUCUCUCCUUCUCUCCUUUUUGCUUUUUGCGGGUUUGCGACCAUUGGAGAAGCUUGAGAUCUUGGUGGGAGCUUAUUUGGAGAUCGUUUUACUACUUGCCAUUGUGCUCAUUCGCACAUGCUUGUGAGGGUCGCUCCCUACAAGCCGGCAUUCCGGAGAUAGCCAUCGCGAUUCAUAUUCGCCGUGCGGAAUUGAGCGCCGAAGUGGAUUGCCGCGGGACAGGCUUAUUCCUAGGGUGGGGAUGAUGACUACCACGGGGCCAUUAGGCUCGGCACCGGCCAGACAGCCUACGGAUGGAUUUUAGGGCCAUAGACAGCCUUCGGGUGGGUCUCUUCAGAUUUGACUUUGAGUAUUCAUUAUGACAUGUGGACAGAUGAUGACUUAGCGUACUACUUGGACAUUGACUAGAAUAGUAAACAACGAAACUUUACUAUUUCGCAUUGUGAACAUUAUGAUAGUUGGAGACUUUUACUUCAUGCAUAGUUGCUUCAUAUUUAUGCUAUUUAUGCUAAGUAGAGAUAUCAUGUUGUAGUAAGUUACAUUUUUACUUACCUUUCGCUUUUUUAUAUUUAUAGUCACUGACAUCUUUUGUAGCUUUGGGCCUUGUGGUGCAUUCACUGAAGUCAGUAAUUGCCCACUGGGAACUAUUUUUAAUAGUUCUCACGCCCUCGUUUUAUUGUUUACUUUUCAGAGCCUUCGGCACCGGCGGAGGCACGGGAUCGCGGCAAGGGGAUCGCUUAGUUAGCUAGUGAGGAGCGGUAUUUUGCCUAGGUGGUUUACUCUUUCUUUUGUAGUUGAGAGAGUGAGAGAUUUUUGUAUCCAUGUAUAGAGACCACCUAUAUAUCUACCUAUAGCACUUGUAUCUGGAAUUUUUUUGUAUCACUUUAUGAUUUAUUUAGUAGAUUUACAGUUUUAUCCUUAUCCCUUAUUGUAGCAUUUAGACAUUUAUUAUGCUCUGAUACUCCUAAAUGUCUUUUAUUAUUACUUUUAUUAUUGUUGUUUUUAGACGCCUUAUAUGUUGUAGACAUAUGGCGGGUCUGGGCACGCGCCGGGCGGGCUUCCGCUGGGUCCCGGGGCGUGACACACAGACCCUACACUAGUACAUAACGAAGAGGGACGGCAUACUUCUCUCACACGGUCCGAUCUCAUAGACCGUGUGCUGCGCUCAAGAUACGUGCCGUGUGUUUCACCUUUUGGGUUUUGAUUUCUGCUCUUUUUGAGCAGAAAACGAAACAAAAAAUUUUUCAAGAAUCCGUAAAAAAAAUUUUUAGAAAAAUUUUACAGACAACCAAAUAUUCGGAAAUUCGGGACAGUUUUAUAAGCAACCAAA